Molecule: ribosomal RNA, 253 nt
Filed under: uncultured bacterium
Lineage: Bacteria
Description: partial 16S ribosomal RNA
Rfam family: Bacterial small subunit ribosomal RNA
Source: RNAcentral
UACGGAGGGUGCGAGCGUUGUCCGGAAUCACUGGGCGUAAAGGGCGCGUAGGCGGGCGGUCAAGUCUGUGGUGAAAUCCUUCGGCUCAACCGGAGAAUAGCUGGAGAUACUGGCCGUCUCGAGGGGGGUAGGGGCAUGUGGAACUUCCGGUGGAGCGGUGAAAUGCGUAGAUAUCGGAAGGAACGCCGGUGGCGAAAGCGACGUGCUGGACCCUUUCUGACGCUGAGGCGCGAAAGCCAGGGGAGCAAACGGG